AUUGAACGCUGGCGGCAUGCUUUACACAUGCAAGUCGAACGGCAGCGCGGGCUUCGGCCUGGCGGCGAGUGGCGAACGGGUGAGUAAUGCAUCGGAACGUGCCCAGUAGUGGGGGAUAGCCCGGCGAAAGCCGGAUUAAUACCGCAUACGACCUGAGGGUGAAAGCGGGGGACCGAAAGGCCUCGCGCUAUUGGAGCGGCCGAUGUCGGAUUAGCUAGUUGGUGGGGUAAAGGCUUACCAAGGCGACGAUCCGUAGCUGGUCUGAGAGGACGACCAGCCACACUGGGACUGAGACGCGGCCCAGACUCCUACGGGAGGCAGCAGUGGGGAAUUUUGGACAAUGGGGGCAACCCUGAUCCAGCCAUGCCGCGUGCGGGAAGAAGGCCUUCGGGUUGUAAACCGCUUUUGUUCGGGAAGAAAUCCUCUGGGCUAAUACCCCGGGGGGAUGACGGUACCGGAAGAAUAAGCACCGGCUAACUACGUG
This 484-nucleotide ribosomal RNA is filed under the name uncultured bacterium. Its description in RNAcentral is "partial 16S ribosomal RNA". It matches the Rfam family "Bacterial small subunit ribosomal RNA", at positions 28 to 507 of the family's 1533-position model. The record is from RNAcentral.